This is a long non-coding RNA of Lolium rigidum, 2444 nucleotides long. RefSeq lists it as uncharacterized. The transcript has 4 exons. The record is from RefSeq and is a predicted model, not a curated record. NCBI's taxonomy places the organism in Eukaryota, Viridiplantae, Streptophyta, Magnoliopsida, Poales, Poaceae.
GACAGCAUACACACUCAUGUUGAUGUGAUGAUGUCCUACUAGGCCACCACCAUCUUCGCCUUUUUCUCCAACCUGAUGAGAUCCAAAUCCAACGCACCUCCAUUAUUUACCCUUUUGCACAAACCAUGCCGUUCACUCCUGUGCUCCCCGCUCUAUAAAAAUCACACCAAAUAUGUCUCUUUGUUCUGUCUGUACAUCUCUCGAUGCAUAUCUUCUUCAGGCGUUCUCGUGCUUUGGAGCGACCAUCUUAACCGCCUCGCCGACCGACAGGAAUAUCUUGUCGUCGCCGAUGAGCUCUGUGAAUCUCGCCGCCCGCAGCUUCUGGAUCACUAUUGGCCCGGGAUUGGCGAGGAUCAGCUGUAAGUGGCACACCCAGAUUGUUCUCUUAGUCAAGUGCUUCGUCCAUCAACAUUGAUUCUUGCGGUAGCAGCUAGUAUAGGCAGAAUUGGAGUUCUAGUCUUUGUUAUUUACCUGAAUUUUGCGCUUUUCAAGUGAUUUAAGCAAUUCCUCCAAUGCAUGGAUUCCGCUCGUGUCGAUGUCAGUUACCGCUGUUGAAGAGUUGGCUUUUGCUCCUCCUGUUGUUCUUCCUCAUCCCUCAGCCAUCUCAGGAUCCUGAAAAUCGUAUAUCAGGUAGCCAAGUAUGACUUACAAUAGCGACGCCUUGCUUGUCUGCACGAGUGAGGUACACACACAAGGUGGAUAAGAUGACCGAUAUAAGCGGCGCGAUUGCAGAAACCCAGAAGAGCUUUUUAUUCUUCUUAGCCUGAAUUAUCCCAGUUAGUUGGUAUGAUCAUCACAAAUAGUCAAAGAGAAAUAAUAGUUAAUUAUAAACAUGUAGUAUUUUAUCUUACAAUGUACUUGGCUGCUAGAAGGAAUGCCAAGAACGAUGCUGCGAUCAAUAUUGUCUGCCAGUUCCACUAAAUCAACAAAGCAAGAGUAAUCUGAAAUAUUGGUUUUCAUCGGUGAAGUGGGAAAAAAAAUAAGACCGCAAUGCCAAGGAAUCCCUUGAGCUGUUGAAGAGCAAUGGUGACGGCUGCACCCGCCAUGAAACCAACGAUGGCGGCAUGAGACAAGAACUCUAUGAUGAACCCUAGCCUGCAGCAAAGUCCGCUCAUGAACUACCAUUCUAAUGCAUAACCGAGUUGGUUAACAGGAUCUGAGGUAAUACCUAAAGAAUCCGAGCGCGAACUGAGUGAGGCCCGCGAAGAAUGUGGCGGUGAAGGCCAGGCUGGUGUACUCUUCCCGAUCCUUGACCGGGUCUAACUCCUGUUGGAGAAGAGUGCCGAGCAGCAGCGACACGACCGCCACAGGACCGAUGGCUAUGUCCCUGGAACUACCCAUCAGGGCAUAUAUCAAAGGCGGGACGAAGCUACUGUCUGCACAUUUAAAGUUUCUUAUCAUCAGUAGCCACUGGAGCAAAAUUCUCAUCACAACAAGAAGGAAUGGAUACGCGUGUGUGCGUGUAUGUGCACUUACACAGUCCAUACUGUGGUAACAGGCCAGCAAGCUUGGCAUAACCGAUAUCCUGAGGUAUGCAGAGGCUGGCGAUGGUCAUCCCGGCGAUGAGGUCGCCCUUGAACUUGCCCAAGGUGUAGUUCCUGCCCCAGUCCAGCAUCGGGAAGACAUGCUGCAGGCCGAGCCACAGCUUCUUGGACUUGGGCUGGUCCUUGAACGGCCUCAGCGGGUCGUCGGAGAAGAAGGUCUCCUUCAACCCGUCGGAGAACUCCGCGAAAGCGCCCUUCUUGGGCGGAAAACCAACCUUGUAGCUGUUGUGGGUAUUCUCCGUGCGGCGGCGUGACAUCGUCCGGCUGGAGAUGUCAUCGCCGGGCAAUUCUUCACCGCCAUCAGACACGGUACGCGGCAUUGUGGACGAUGUUGCACACGCCUAGGUGCAGAAGGGCACUUGUAUCUGCAAACGAUGCAGUGAGCACAUUGGUCAAACUCUAUUCAGAAGGCCAAAGCUGCACGGACUUGCAUGACCAGCUGCAUGCAUGGCCCAAAACCCAGGUGAUCUGAGCUCUGAACUGAAUGAAAUGAUGUUUUACUUCAGAGCUAAAUAAAUCUGAAGCCUAUGCAAGAACAAGAACAAGAAUACAAGCACACAACAGAAUUCAACGAUCAUCGGUCAGUGGCUGUCUAGUGUUUGACCAUGGGAUCAUUCCUAACUGACAAGCCUGGAGAAUGGAGAACGGAAGAAAACCUACACGAGGAUGCUCUUGGCCCAGGAAGACAGAGGCCUUGCUUGCUUCUUCCUUGGAUUGUUCAGAACCUAGCUAGAGAAUGUCCAUUAUAUAUAGCACUCCGGCUACGAUGAAUGUCAACCCCUCAGUUUUAAAAGGGCCAAGAGGGAUAGCUAGGCUAAGCUGCAAAGUACGAAUCUGCGUCGAAAAUCGAACCACGUUCAACAGAGCACAGGAAAUGCCUACCUAAACGAAUAAGAUAUC